Molecule: ribosomal RNA, 509 nt
Filed under: uncultured bacterium
Lineage: Bacteria
Description: partial 16S ribosomal RNA
Source: RNAcentral
GGAGUUAGCCGGUGCUUCUUCUGUGAGUGAUGUCCUUCCUGCCGGCUAUUAACCCGCAGGCCUUCUUCCUCACUGAAAGUGCUUUACAACCCGAAGGCCUUCUUCACACACGCGGCAUGGCUGGAUCAGGGUUGCCCCCAUUGUCCAAUAUUCCCCACUGCUGCCUCCCGUAGGAGUCUGGGCCGUGUCUCAGUCCCAGUGUGGCUGAUCAUCCUCUCAGACCAGCUACGGAUCGUCGCCUUGGUGAGCCGUUACCUCACCAACCAGCUAAUCCGACAUAGGCUCAUCCGAUAGCGCGAGGCCCGAAGGUCCCCCGCUUUCCCCCGUAGGGCGUAUGCGGUAUUAGCCUGGGUUUCCCCCAGGUUAUCCCCCGACUACCGGGCAGAUUCCUAUGCAUUACUCACCCGUCCGCCGCUCGCCACCAGGGAGCAAGCUCCCCGUGCUGCCGCUCGACUUGCAUGUGUUAGGCCUGCCGCCAGCGUUCAAUCUGAGCCAUAAUCAAACUCUGA